AGCAGCCGCGGUAAUUCCAGCUCCAAUAGCGUAUAUUAAAGUUGUUGCAGUUAAAAAGCUCGUAGUUGAAUUUCGAGACCGGCUUAUUGGUCGUGCUUUUGUACGUACUGGUAUAAUCGGUUUCUCCUUUCUGACGAACUAUAAUGCCAUUAAUUUGGUGUUAUAGGGAAUCAGGACUGUUACUUUGAAAAAAUUAGAGUGUUUAAAGCAGGCUCACGCUUGAAUACAUUAGCAUGGAAUAACGGAAUAGGACGUUUGAUUCUAUUUUGUUGGUUUCUAGGAUCGACGUAAUGAUUAAUAGGGAUAGUUGGGGGCAUUAGUAUUCAAUUGUCAGAGGUGAAAUUCUUGGAUUUAUUGAAGACUAACUACUGCGAAAGCAUUUGCCAAGGAUGUUUUCAUUAAUCAAGAACGAAAGUUAGGGGAUCGAAGACGAUCAGAUACCGUCGUAGUCUUAACCAUAAACUAUGCCGACUAGGGAUCGGAUGAUGUUAAUUUUUAAUGACUCAUUCGGCGCCUUACG
RNAcentral lists this ribosomal RNA (520 nucleotides) under uncultured Glomus. Its description in RNAcentral is "SSU rRNA". It matches the Rfam family "Eukaryotic small subunit ribosomal RNA", at positions 569 to 1092 of the family's 1831-position model. The record is from RNAcentral. Lineage: Eukaryota; Fungi; Glomeromycota; Glomeromycetes; Glomerales; Glomeraceae.